UGAGGAACAUGACCUUCGGCGGGGGAGUAGCCGGCCCAACGGCCGGGUAAUACCGCGUACGACCACAUGGGGACAUCCCUGAGUGGUGAAAGCAGCAAUGCGCCGAUGGAGUGCCUCGCGGCCUAUCAGCUAGUUGGUGAGGUAACGGCUCACCAAGGCAACGAUGCGUAGCCGACCUGAGAGGGUGAUCGGCCACAUUGGAACUGAGACACGGUCCAGACCUNUACGGGAGG
This 233-nucleotide ribosomal RNA is filed under the name uncultured bacterium. RNAcentral describes it as "partial 16S ribosomal RNA". It matches the Rfam family "Bacterial small subunit ribosomal RNA", at positions 118 to 347 of the family's 1533-position model. The record is from RNAcentral.